UUUGACUCAACACGGGGAAACUUACCAGGUCCAGACAUAGUAAGGAUUGACAGACUGAGAGCUCUUUCUAGAUUCUAUGGGUGGUGGUGCAUGGCCGUUCUUNCGGGCUUCCGCCCGUUGCUGCGAUGAUUCAUGAUAACUCGA
This 144-nucleotide ribosomal RNA is filed under the name Olea europaea subsp. europaea. RNAcentral's name for it is "Eukaryotic small subunit ribosomal RNA". It matches the Rfam family "Eukaryotic small subunit ribosomal RNA", at positions 1194 to 1359 of the family's 1831-position model. Lineage: Eukaryota; Viridiplantae; Streptophyta; Magnoliopsida; Lamiales; Oleaceae. The record is from Rfam by way of RNAcentral.